RNAcentral lists this ribosomal RNA (853 nucleotides) under uncultured bacterium. RNAcentral's name for it is "bacterial SSU rRNA". It matches the Rfam family "Bacterial small subunit ribosomal RNA", at positions 8 to 878 of the family's 1533-position model. The record is from RNAcentral.
AGAGUUUGAUCAUGGCUCAGAACGAACGCUGGCGGCGCGUUUUAAGCAUGCAAGUCGAGCGGCAAGGGUAGCAAUACCCCUAGAGCGGCGGACGGGUGAGUAACACGUGGACAACCUGCCCUUAGGUGAGGGAUAGCCCAGGGAAACCUGGAUUAAUACCUUAUAAGACCACUGAUAGGAGUAUGAGUGGGGAAAGGUGCUACGGCGCCGCCUGAGGAUGGAUCUGCGUCCCAUUAGCUAGAUGGUAGGGUAAAGGCCUACCAUGGCGACGAUGGGUAGCCGGCCUGAGAGGGUGAACGGCCACACUGGAACUGAGACACGGUCCAGACUCCUACGGGAGGCAGCAGUGGGGAAUAUUGCACAAUGGAGGGAACUCUGAUGCAGCGACGCCGCGUGAGUGAAGAAGGUCUUCGGAUCGUAAAACUCUGUCCUUGGUGACGAAGAAAAUGACGGUAGCCAAGGAGGAAGCCCCGGCUAACUACGUGCCAGCAGCCGCGGUAAUACGUAGGACACGAGCGUUAUCCGGAUUUACUGGGCGUAAAGCGCCUGUAGGCGGUUCUUCAAGUCGUUUGUGAAAGCCCUGGGCUCAACCUGGGGAGGCCAAGCGAUACUGGAGGACUUGAGGGUGACAGAGGGGAGUGGAAUUUCCGGUGUAGCGGUAAAAUGCGCAGAUAUCGGGAGGAACACCGGUGGCGAAGGCGGCUUACUGGACUGUAACUGACGCUGAGUCACGAAAGCGUGGGUAGCAAACAGGAUUAGAUACCCUGGUAGUCCACGCCGUAAACGAUGAGUGCUAGGUGUUGGGCAGCAAUGCUCAGUGCCGAAGUAAACACAAUAAGCACUCCGCCUGGGG